RNAcentral lists this transfer RNA (72 nucleotides) under Camelus bactrianus (Bactrian camel). It matches the Rfam family "tRNA". From Rfam's summary of the family: Transfer RNA (tRNA) molecules are approximately 80 nucleotides in length. Their secondary structure includes four short double-helical elements and three loops (D, anti-codon, and T loops). The record is from Rfam by way of RNAcentral. RNAcentral also lists the same sequence under 2 other names. Lineage: Eukaryota; Metazoa; Chordata; Mammalia; Artiodactyla; Camelidae.
GAGGGUGUAGCUCAGUGGUAGAGCACAUGCUUAGCAUGCAGGAGGCCAUGGGUUUGAUUCCCAGUACCUCCA